RNAcentral lists this transfer RNA (72 nucleotides) under Ailuropoda melanoleuca (giant panda). It matches the Rfam family "tRNA". Rfam says of the family: Transfer RNA (tRNA) molecules are approximately 80 nucleotides in length. Their secondary structure includes four short double-helical elements and three loops (D, anti-codon, and T loops). Lineage: Eukaryota; Metazoa; Chordata; Mammalia; Carnivora; Ursidae. The record is from Rfam by way of RNAcentral.
GCCUAGCUGGUUCACUGAUGGAGCAUGUGACUCUUGACCUCAGGGUCAUGGGUUCGAGCCCCAUGUUAGGUG